This 1114-nucleotide ribosomal RNA is filed under the name Corynebacterium striatum. Its description in RNAcentral is "bacterial SSU rRNA". It matches the Rfam family "Bacterial small subunit ribosomal RNA", at positions 412 to 1533 of the family's 1533-position model. The record is from RNAcentral. Lineage: Bacteria; Bacillati; Actinomycetota; Actinomycetes; Mycobacteriales; Corynebacteriaceae.
AGGCCUUCGGGUUGUAAACUCCUUUCGACAGGGACGAAGCGUAAGUGACGGUACCUGUAUAAGAAGCACCGGCUAACUACGUGCCAGCAGCCGCGGUAAUACGUAGGGUGCGAGCGUUGUCCGGAAUUACUGGGCGUAAAGAGCUCGUAGGUGGUUUGUCGCGUCGUCUGUGAAAUUCCGGGGCUUAACUCCGGGCGUGCAGGCGAUACGGGCUGACUUGAGUGCUGUAGGGGAGACUGGAAUUCCUGGUGUAGCGGUGAAAUGCGCAGAUAUCAGGAGGAACACCGAUGGCGAAGGCAGGUCUCUGGGCAGUAACUGACGCUGAGGAGCGAAAGCAUGGGUAGCGAACAGGAUUAGAUACCCUGGUAGUCCAUGCCGUAAACGGUGGGCGCUAGGUGUAGGGGGCUUCCACGUCUUCUGUGCCGUAGCUAACGCAUUAAGCGCCCCGCCUGGGGAGUACGGCCGCAAGGCUAAAACUCAAAGGAAUUGACGGGGGCCCGCACAAGCGGCGGAGCAUGUGGAUUAAUUCGAUGCAACGCGAAGAACCUUACCUGGGCUUGACAUAUACAAGACAGGCGUAGAGAUACGUCCUCCCUUGUGGUUUGUAUACAGGUGGUGCAUGGUUGUCGUCAGCUCGUGUCGUGAGAUGUUGGGUUAAGUCCCGCAACGAGCGCAACCCUUGUCUUAUGUUGCCAGCAUUUGGUUGGGGACUCAUGAGAGACUGCCGGGGUCAACUCGGAGGAAGGUGGGGAUGACGUCAAAUCAUCAUGCCCCUUAUGUCCAGGGCUUCACACAUGCUACAAUGGUCGGUACAACGCGCAGCGACACUGUGAGGUGGAGCGAAUCGCUGAAAGCCGGCCUUAGUUCGGAUUGGGGUCUGCAACUCGACCCCAUGAAGUCGGAGUCGCUAGUAAUCGCAGAUCAGCAACGCUGCGGUGAAUACGUUCCCGGGCCUUGUACACACCGCCCGUCACGUCAUGAAAGUUGGUAACACCCGAAGCCAGUGGCUCAAACUCGUUAGGGAGCUGUCGAAGGUGGGAUCGGCGAUUGGGACGAAGUCGUAACAAGGUAGCCGUACCGGAAGGUGCGGCUGGAUCACCUCCUUUCUAAGGAG